Molecule: ribosomal RNA, 250 nt
Filed under: uncultured archaeon
Lineage: Archaea
Description: partial 16S ribosomal RNA
Rfam family: Archaeal small subunit ribosomal RNA
Source: RNAcentral
UACCCCUGUAGUCCUAGCCGUAAACGAUACUCGCUAGGUGUCGGCCACGGUGCGACCGUUGUCGGUGCCGUAGGGAAGCCGUGAAGCGAGCCACCUGGGAAGUACGGCCGCAAGGCUAGAAACUUAAAGGAAUUGGCGGGGGAGCACAACAACGGGUGGAGCUUGCGGUUUAAUUGGAUUCAACGCCGGAAAUCUUACCGGGACCGACAGCAACAUGAAGGCCAAGCUGAAGACUUUGCCGGAUUAGCUG